This 240-nucleotide unclassified non-coding RNA is filed under the name uncultured Ascomycota. RNAcentral's name for it is "sequence contains ITS2". The stretch from base 1 to 52 matches the Rfam family "5.8S ribosomal RNA", at positions 103 to 154 of the family's 154-position model. Lineage: Eukaryota; Fungi; Ascomycota. The record is from RNAcentral.
AACGCACAUUGCGCCCUCUGGUAUUCCGGAGGGCAUGCCUGUUCGAGCGUCAUAAUGACCAACUCACCCUUGUGGUGGACUUGGAGCUGGCCGGUCUGGCCUCUCUUAAAACCAGUGGCGGUGCUCUUAAGCUCUACGCGUAGUAAUUUCUCUCGCGACAGGGUCUUGAUGGUGCUUGCCAACAACCCCGACUCUUAUAAGGUUGACCUCGGAUCAGGUAGGGAUACCCGCUGAACUUAA